This 530-nucleotide ribosomal RNA is filed under the name uncultured bacterium. RNAcentral describes it as "bacterial SSU rRNA". It matches the Rfam family "Bacterial small subunit ribosomal RNA", at positions 54 to 598 of the family's 1533-position model. The record is from RNAcentral.
CAUGCAAGUCGAACGAGAGAAGAGAAGCUUGCUUUUCUGAUCUAGUGGCGGACGGGUGAGUAACACGUGAGCAAUCUGCCUUUCAGAGGGGGAUACCGAUUGGAAACGAUCGUUAAUACCGCAUAAUAUAAUUGAACCGCAUGAUUUGAUUAUCAAAGAUUUAUCGCUGAAAGAUGAGCUCGCGUCUGAUUAGCUAGUUGGUAAGGUAACGGCUUACCAAGGCGACGAUCAGUAGCCGGACUGAGAGGUUGAUCGGCCACAUUGGGACUGAGACACGGCCCAGACUCCUACGGGAGGCAGCAGUGGGGAAUAUUGCACAAUGGAGGAAACUCUGGCGCAGCGAUGCCGCGUGAGGGAAGAAGGUUUUAGGAUUGUAAACCUCUGUCUUCAGGGACGAAAAAAGACGGUACCUGAGGAGGAAGCUCCGGCUAACUACGUGCCAGCAGCCGCGGUAAUACGUAGGGAGCGAGCGUUGUCCGGAAUUACUGGGUGUAAAGGGAGCGUAGGCGGGAUCGCAAGUCAGAUGUGAA